This 189-nucleotide ribosomal RNA is filed under the name uncultured bacterium. RNAcentral describes it as "partial 16S ribosomal RNA". The record is from RNAcentral.
AUUACCGCGGCUGCUGGCACGGAGUUAGCCGAUCCUUAUUCUUACGGUACCGUCAAGCUCCUUCACGAAGGAGUGUUUCUUCCCGUACAAAAGCAGUUUACACACCAUAGAUGCUUCUUCCUGCACGCGGCAUGGCUGGAUCAGGCUUGCGCCCAUUGUCCAAUAUUCCUCACUGCUGCCUCCCGUAGG